UACAGAGGUCUCAAGCGUUGUUCGGAUUCAUUGGGCGUAAAGGGUGCGUAGGCGGCGCGGUAAGUCGGGUGUGAAAUCUCGGAGCUUAACUCCGAAACUGCAUUCGAUACUGCCGUGCUUGAGGACUGGAGAGGAGACUGGAAUUUACGGUGUAGCGGUGAAAUGCGUAGAUAUCUGGAGGAACACCGGUGGCGAAGGCGGCAUCCUGGACCAAUUCUGACACUGAGGCACGAAAGCGUGGGGAGCAAACAGG
RNAcentral lists this ribosomal RNA (253 nucleotides) under uncultured bacterium. RNAcentral's name for it is "partial 16S ribosomal RNA". It matches the Rfam family "Bacterial small subunit ribosomal RNA", at positions 524 to 776 of the family's 1533-position model. The record is from RNAcentral.